Molecule: ribosomal RNA, 351 nt
Filed under: Triticum aestivum (bread wheat)
Lineage: Eukaryota; Viridiplantae; Streptophyta; Magnoliopsida; Poales; Poaceae
Description: partial small subunit ribosomal RNA
Source: RNAcentral
AUGGGAGGCGUUUGGGAGGAUCGACUAGGAAGGAUCGAACGGCACCUAGAGAAGACCUGCACAAGGAUGCCACAAAGAUCUCCAAGGAUGUCCUCGACUCUGCCAGGUGAGAUGGAUUCUUUUCAUCUUUCAUUCUCCAGUCAUUAUGUUCUAGACCAAAUAGAUCCUAAUGCGGUCGAGUUGGAGGCGGAUUCAGACAACAGAUUCCUUUACAAAUUCGAAGCCAGAACUCAAAAAAGAAAGGGCAAGGAAAUGAAGGGUGCAAGACUACUAGAGGCAAAGACAGGCGGACGCGGCCAGAGCAGUAUGGUGGCGUCGAUGGGUGUGGAGGAGUGUGUGAAGAGGUUGUAG